RNA transcript from Gallus gallus (chicken), 5736 nucleotides. It is a transcript of the gene named sperm-associated antigen 4 protein-like, with no coding region annotated. Lineage: Eukaryota; Metazoa; Chordata; Aves; Galliformes; Phasianidae. The transcript is spliced from 9 exons. The record is from RefSeq and is a predicted model, not a curated record.
GGGGGGUUUUUGAAGAGAAAAUGCGUGAUUCUCGGUAUAAAUGGGGAUUUUCGAUGAGGAAAUGUGUGAUUUUUGGUAUAAGAGGUGGAUUUUUUUUAGGAAAGUUUGAGGUUUUGGGGUUAAAUGGGGUAUUUUCCAAGAGAAAACGCGUGAUUUUCUGGUUAAAUGGCAGAUUUUCCAUGAGAAACUGCGUGAUUUUGGGGUUAAAUGGGGGAUUUUCCAAGAGAAAAUGCGUUAAUUUUGGUUAAAUGUGGGAUUUUCAAAGGGAAAAUGUGUGAUUUUUGGGUUAAAUGGGGGGAGUUUCGAAGAGAAAACGCAUGAUUUUGGGAUUAAAUGGGGGAUUUUCGAAGAGAAAAUGUGUGAUUUUCGGUUAAAUGGUGGAUUUCUCAUGAGAAAAUGCGUGAUUUUUGGUUUAAAUGGGGGAUUUUCAAUCAAAAAUGUGUGAUUUUCGUAUUUAACAGGGAAUUAUCGAAGAGAAAAUGAGUGAUUUUCUGUUAAACGGGGGAUUUUCGAACAGGAAAUGCCUGAAUUUUGGUUAAAAGGAGGGUUUUCAGAGAGAAAACACACGAUUUGGAAAUUAAAUGGGGAUUUUCUGGUAACAACAAAUGCGUGAUUUUGGGGUUAAAUGGGGGUUUUUCGAAGAGAAAAUGCAUGAUUUUCAGAUAAAUGGGGGAUUUUCCAUGAGAAAAUGUGUGAUUUUCGAGUUAAAUGGGGGGUUUUCGAAAUGCAAAUGCGUGAUUUCUUGUUUAAAUGGGGGGGGUUUUCCAGGAGAAAAUGCAUGCUUUUUGGGUGAAUGGGGGAUCUUCUGAAAGAAAAUGCAUAAUUUUCGGGUUAAAUGGGGGAUUUUUGAAGAGAAAAUGCGUGAUGUUCAGUUAAAUGCGGCAUUUUCAAAGAAAAAAAUGCAUGAUAUUCGGGUUAAAUGGGGGAUUUCUGUUAAGGAAAUGAGUGAUUUUUGGGUUAAAUGGGCAGUUUUCAAACAGAAAACGUGAUACAUCUGGGUUAAGUUGCCAAUUUACAAAGAGAAAAUGGAUGAUUUUCAGUUAAAUGGAGGGUUUUUGAAGAGAACAUGUGUGAUUUAAAUGGGGAUUUUCGAUGAGAAAAUGUGUGAUUUUCAGUAUAAGUGGGGGAUUUGUUUUUUAGGAAAAUGCGAGACGUUUGGGUUAAAUGUGGGAUUUUGCAAGAGAAGAUGCGUGCUAUUCUGUUAAAUGGGGCAUUUUUGAAGAGAAAAUGUAUGGUUUUUGCUUUAAUGGGGGAUUUUCAAACAAAAAUGUGUGAUUUUUGUAUUUCAUUGGGAAUUAUCUAAGAGAAAAGGAGUGAUUUCCGGGUCAAAUGAGGAGUUUUUGUUAAGAAAAUGUGUGAUUUUCGGUUAAAUGGGGGAUUUUUGAGCAGGAAAUACGUGAUUUUCGAGUUAAAUGUGGGAUAUUUUAAGAGAAAGUAUGUGCUUUUUGGUUAAAAGGCUGAUUUUGGCAAUGAAAAUGCGUGACUUUCAGUGGGCCCCAUUGCCCCCAGUGUGCGUCCCAGCCUGACGGGACGGGGGGUGUCUUUCUAAAACAAAGAUGCCACUCAGCUUCCGAAGGUGACCUCGGAAUUAGUUUUAUUUAGCGAAGGUGCCAGGAGGUUUCACAGGAGUAGUCUGAAUUUAGCGAGAGAAGUGGGAGCGAGUGGCUGAGCUGACCUCUCUGAGCUGAGCUGGUGCAUUUCAGCAGUGGUGACAGCGGCUGCCAGGGCGUGCUGCUGGCUCAGAUUCAAGUGGCCAUCAACCAGAACACCCAGAUGCCUUAUAGCGGGGUUGCUCUCCAGCCCCUAGCCCCCCAGUCUGCACGCAGAGGCAGGGCAGCAGCGUCCCAGGUGCGGAGCCCAGCACUUGCUCCUCUUUGUGCGGAUGGUGACUAGCCUCAAAUCUGUCCAGAUCUCAGGGCGAGGCCUCUCUCCCAUCAACGGAGUCAGCACUCUUCCCAGCUUAGCAUCACCCACACGUUUACUUCAUACAACUGCCAGAUCUUUACUGGAAUCAACAGGAAAAACAAAGGCCCUCACAACUGACCCCCACAGAAUGCCAAUGGGGACAGGUACGGUACCUGUCAGGCCGUAGCCUCCCUUCACCCAACACGGCCAUGCUUUGGUCGGCAUGGGACGUUCUUAGGGUCGCAUCGUCACGGCCUCGUUCUGUCACGAGCCACCUCCCUGCUGACUGCUAUACUACAGGGACCCUGACAACCCACCACCAGUUGCUGACCAACUUCGGCCCAGAAAGAAUACAUUCGAGACACAGAGCUCAUUACCUAGCUCCAUCCCUCCCAGCGUAGGAACUCUGGUGGAGGAAGACGGCUUCUCCUUGACCAAAGCAGUGUUGGCUUCUAGAGAGCAGCAGCGAGCCCAAACCAACAGAUCCAGAUCCAGCAGGGAGUGACAUCGAGCCCAUGGAAGUGGAUCCGCCUCCAGAGGACUCCCUCAUCAUUAGAGGUGCCAGCAUCGACACGCAAAGAACUUCUCCUACUUAGGAGCUGAGGAGCUGGUUUAGCAGACACUGCUUCUGGUGCUCCGUGAUCCCUCCAGAUACCAUAUGGCAGGUAUGGUGGCGGCAGUCAGCAGUGCCGCUUGCAACCUUCACUGCCCCCUCAGCGGUCUCCCCUCAGCCCCGGCAUAUUGCUCAAGCCGUGAAGCCAAAGGUCCGACGCGGGGUUGAGCGUGCUGGAAGUGGGUGAAUCCGCUCAGGAGGGCACCUGAGCUGAACUGCAGCCCACACUGCUCAGUCCCAGCCGGGUGACAGAGCUCCUCCGUGCUGACACCUCAGUGCCACAGCCAUCCCAACCACCUUGUCACUGACCCUGAGAGCCCCUUGGUCGGGCAGGGAAUUAAGGCCUGUGUUUCUGCCCGAUUCCACCAUGGGUGCCCCAUUCACGGAGGUGCCCAAAGCCGUGGGGGGGGACUUACGCAGCCGGAGAGAGAGGGGCAGGCAGCGCGUGGCAGGAGUGGGGCUGGGCGGGCUGUGAGAUUCCUUCCACCACCACCACAAUUUGAUUUUAUGGUUUCUGAUGCCAUCUAUCCCAUGCAAGCCAUUUGUUUGUGCAUUACGUGUUCUGUGAUCUGUAAGGUCCUUUCAGUGCCAACCUUGCAGUGAUUCCAUCCUCCUAUAUCACUGAGAUGUAGAGAGCCAGCCCCCUGCCCCAUGCGUUGCGGGGUCCUGAUGGACUAAGGGACGCUGGGGGAUAUGGGACAGAGGCAGGGGAUGGGGGUGUCCCUUCCCCCAAGUCACGCACACCACUGCUGGCUCUUGGUUGCUGCUGCAAAGCGAGGCCAGAGGCCCAUCAGCCCCAGUGUGCGUCCCAGCCUGACGGGACGGGGGGUGUCUUUAUAAAACAAAGAUGCCACUCAGCUUCCGAAGGUGACCUCGGAAUUAGUUUUAUUUAGCGAAGGUGCCAGGAGGUUUCACAGGAGUAGUCUGAAUUUAGCGAGAGAAGUGGGAGCGAGGCUGCCAGGGAAGCCUCAUUUUCUGAUGGAAAUCGGAUGAUGUCCGGAGAGUCCGUUUUCUGGAGAAGGCGGCAGACUGAAGACGUGGCAGAGCCCCAGUGGGCUCAGAGCUUUUGGGACGGCAGUGCUGAGAGGACGUGCUGCUUCCAGCGCUCAUCUGUUGCCAACAUGGCAAGAGGAAAGGCUCGACGCGCCAGGCGCCCGAAGGCAUCUGAGCGCUCCGCUGCGAGCGAGGCUGUUGGUGAGGCCCGUCAGCGCCGCGUAGAAGAGGCAGCAGCAAUGAGUCAAAGGCUCCGUGUGCUGCUGGCGUUGUGGAUGGCAUUUUCAGUACAAGCUCUUGCCUCCGCUGGCCAGCUCUGCAGAACGUGGCGUGACAAAGCCACGGGAAUGGCACGCAAGCUGGCUGCUGCUGCUUCAGGGCACAAGAAGAUGCUUUUCAGGCUGUCCAUCAUAGUGCUCCUGGUGACUUUGGCCAUGGUGAAUGUGUGUGUCUUCAAGACUUGCUGGGCAGCUAGGAGAAUUUGGGAAGACAGCACGGCACAGGAGAUCGAGAGACUCCAACAGGCAGCGUCUGAGCUGAGAGCGCAGCUGGACUGCUACCAGACACCUGACUGGGCGCUGCAAAGCUUUGGUGAGGACACAGGCAGGCAAGCCCUGCUACCCUGUGCUUCUCCACGUCUGCGGCCUCUUGCACUCAUCUCCUCCCCCAUCAUUACAGGUGCCACCAUCGACACGCGGAGAACUUCUCCUAUUUACGAGCUGAGGAGCUGGUUUAGCAGACACUGCUUCUGGUGCUCUGUGAACCCUCCGGAUACCAUAUUGCAGCCGGGUGUCUCCCUUGGAGAAUGCUGGCCCAUGGAAGGACAGCAGGGCCAGGUGGUCAUCAGGCUGCGUGCCAAAAUCCGGCCCUCUUGUGUCACUCUGGAGCACAUCACCCCGGAGAUGACUCCGAGCGGCACAGCCAGCAGUGCCCCCAGGGAUGUCGCUGUCUUUGGACUGGAUGCGGACAGCGAAGAGGAGGUUCCCCUUGUGUCAUUCACCUUUGAUGUGGGGGAAGGGCCCACGCAGACCUUCUUGCUAAAGAAUAAUCAUUCCAGAGCCUUUCGCUACAUCAAGGUUCUGGUGAAGAGCAACUGGGGACACCCCCGUUACACCUGCCUUUACCGAGUGCAGGUGCACGGAAAGGUGGUGAAAACAGAAGACCAUAGAACCGCAGAGUCAUUGAAUGGCUAAGGCUGGAAAAGACCCACAGGAUCAUGCGAUGCAACCAGUCACCCGUCACCAGCGGUUCUCAUGAAACCAAGCUCUGCGCCGGGCUCGCCGCUGCUCCCCUGACAGCAACGCGGCGAGCGCUCGUCGCAACGGCGGGGCUGAGGCACAAAGCCAGGCGGAGGGGCCGCAGGCUUUCUGGGCUGACACGGGCAGCCACAUGGACCUCCAAGGAGCGAGCGAGCUGCCCAGACCUCUGGCUGCGGGGAACUCCAGAAGCUCCAGGCUGCGAGAGCAAAUCAGCCCACUGAGGUGUGUGCGGCAGUCGGAGAGAGAGACCGAGGCCUGGGAUCGCGCAGUGACAGGGGCAGAGCGACAGCCCUGCCCUGAGCCCCAGCAAGGGGGAGAAGCAAGGCUGCCUGCUUUCCGCUGCUCCCAGGAUUGGUUUGAGACAGCGCACCAAAACGCAUACAGGUAUUUCCCAUCGCUUGAGGGUCGGGUGAGAAAAAGCCCUCCCACUGUGCGAGCGGAGCGACUGCGGGACCGGCUGACGGGGCUGGAUUUGUACAAGUCUCUAGGGCCCGGUGCCAUGCAUGCCGGGGUGCAGAAGCAGAUGGCCGACUGUGGGGUGGCCAAGCCGCUGUCCAUCUCUUUAGGGAAGUCGUGGCUGUUGGGCAGAGUCCACGGCGACUGGCAAAUGGAAACAUCACUCCGAGGAGGCCCCGGGAAACUCCAGGCCCGUCAGCCUCACCUCGGUGCCUGGGGAGUCUGUGGAGCAGAUCCCCCGCGAAGAGAUGUUCAGGCACAUGCGAGACGAGCCCUCCUCACCCUUGUGUCCUCCUGCCUCCGGUACCACGGGCACCAAGCAGCGCGGUGCAGUCGCCGUAGGAGGAGGAAGGGAUGGCAGCCAGAGAGUGGGACCGGGCAGGUUAAAUGGGGGAUUUUCUGAUAUGAAAGUGCCUUACUUUCGAUUAAAAGGAGAUUUUCCGAGAGAAAAUGCCUGACUUUCGGAUUAAGUGUGGGAUUUUCAAGGUCAAAAUGUGUGAUUUUCUGCUU